GCUACUGCCAUCAGAGUUCGAUUAAGCCAUGUUAGUCGAGGGUACCUCUUCUUCUUCGGAGGAUGAGGUAACCCGGCGGACGGCUCAGUAACACGUGGAUAACUUGCCCUUGGGUCUGGGAUAACCCCUGGGAAACUGGGGCUAAUACCGGAUAGAGCAUCGAUCGCUGGAAUGCAUGAUGCUCGAAAACUACGGUGCCCAAGGAUAGGUCUGCGGCUGAUUAGGUUGUUGUUGAUGUAAUGGACCAACAAGCCUACGAUCGGUGCGGGUUGUGAGAGCAAUAGCCCGGAGAUGGGUUCUGAGAAAAGAACCCAGGUCCUACGGGACGCAUCAGGCGCGAAAACUUUACAAUGUGCGAAAGCACGAUAAGGGAACUCUGAGUGCCCCCUAAGGGGGCUGUUCUAGUGUCUAAAAAGCAAUAGAAGUAAGGGCUGGGCGAGACCGGUGCCAGCCGCCGCGGUAACACCGGCAGCCCAAGUGGUAGCCACGUUUAUUGGGUCUAAAGCGUUCGUAGCCGGCUUGGUAAGUUCCUUGGUAAAUUUAGCCGCUUAACGGUUAAGCUUUCAGGGAAUACUGCUUGGCUUGGGACUGGGAGAGGUCAGAGGUACUCCAGGGGUAGGGGUGAAAUCCAUUAAUCCUUGGGGGACCACCGGUAGCGAAGGCGUCUGACCAGACCAGCUCCGACGGUGAGGGACGAGGGCUAGGGGCGCGAACCGGAUUAGAUACCCGGGUAGUCCUAGCUGUAAACGAUGCGGGCUAGGUGUUGGCAUUACUGCGAGUGGUGCCAGUGCCGAAGGGAAGCCGUUAAGCUCGCCAUCUGGGGAGUACGGUCGCAAGGCUUAAACUUAAAGGAAUUGGCGGGGGAGCACCACAACGGGUGGAGCCUGCGGUUCAAUUGGAUCAACGCCGGA
Molecule: ribosomal RNA, 911 nt
Filed under: uncultured archaeon
Lineage: Archaea
Description: bacterial SSU rRNA
Rfam family: Archaeal small subunit ribosomal RNA
Source: RNAcentral